Molecule: long non-coding RNA, 1406 nt
Organism: Podarcis muralis (Common wall lizard)
Lineage: Eukaryota; Metazoa; Chordata; Lepidosauria; Squamata; Lacertidae
Source: RefSeq, a predicted model, not a curated record
ACAGAGAUGUCGUGGGAUAGAGCGGCACCAUCAUUGCCUUUCAGCUUUGAACGGCAGCCUUCCGGGGGCCUUUCGCGAAGCUUUCGGGAAAUGGCGGCGUUCCUAUGAGGAGGGCUUCGGAAGAGCUCGGCGGCAGCUCGGAACCGUUCGGGUUUUCCUUCGGGCGGUUCUGCAUGACGUCAGGAGCGUUCCGAGAAGGCGGCAGUGGACGAUCGAGCGAGAAGCCGGAGCCAAUCGGAAACCGCCGGGAGUGCCUUUCGGGGGCUCUGCUCGGGCGGCUCAGUUCAGCGGCUGCUGCCUCUGGCGGAGGGUGGCGAGAGCCUGACUCACUUUUGCGCAUUCUACACUAGCGUGGUGGGGGAAAGAGGGAGAGAGAGGGGAAAAAAUCUGAAUUGAGUUUUGAGGGACGCCUGUGCCGCUCCAUUUGUUUUAAGCAUUCACAUACUACUUUUUAGAUAUACAAAACUCCAAAGUGACGUAAAAAGGGUGAGUGGGAAGGGGAUUUUUUAAAAACACAAGCACACCAUAGCUUAAUAAUCCCAAAUUGGGACAAAAUAGAGACUUGCGGCACAUCAGGAGAUUAACAAAUGUAUUGUGGCAUCAUCUUUCUGUGGAUCAGAUGUGAAGUGACAAAAUGGGUUGGGGUGUGUAUAUUUUUGCACAUACCCUAGUAACCGUAACUAAGCUUAACUACAUGUACCUGAAAUAACACAAAGGACCCUCUUUUAUUCCCUACUUAUGCUCGCCCCCUUUUCUUCUGUUGUCUUACCUGUGAUGAAUUUUGUAUUGCAGACUCCUUGCUGGGAGGACCUCUCCUCUUUUAUCUUUUGAAAAGCAACGUGCAUGAAGAAGACAGGUUGUGUUUUGAUAAAAAGCACCAUAUUUCUUGAGCCUGAGGCACCCACCAUCUCAGCAAGAGAAAGUGCACACACUGAACUGAAUGCAUGAGUUGACGCUGAAUCCCAGAAGAUGGAAAGCCCUUUGGGUUCUCAUUCCACGGCUGAACACCUUCUCCGUGAGCACCUGCCUUGCCGCCCAGAUGCCCACUGGCGAAACACGGCUGCUCCCUGCCUUCCUGAGCCUUCCUCCUGGCUCCUUGCUGCUAUGCUCUUGAUGGCGAUGUUGUCAAAAGUCAUGAGCUGAAAACAACAACAACAUUGGUGCGUGCGCAUCUGUGCACAAUGCUCCUCUGCCUCUGCAGGGGGAGCUCUGAUGUUUCUCGGAGCUUCCUUUCCCACCUUCUAGAAGGGAGAUCGUGCUUUCUGACCUUUUAUUGGACUUUGGCUCCUGCACCAGAGGGUUUGGGGUACAAUUUUCAUUUGUGCUAUCUUGCCUGUUGAUUCUGGAUUGCUUCUAGCCCAGCCAGGUGGGCAGGGUAUAAAUAAUAAAAGUAUUAUUAUUAUUAU